Oncorhynchus tshawytscha (Chinook salmon) is the source of this 1071-nucleotide long non-coding RNA. NCBI's taxonomy places the organism in Eukaryota, Metazoa, Chordata, Actinopteri, Salmoniformes, Salmonidae. The record is from Ensembl.
AGGGGGUGGAGUCUGUUCCUAUGGGGACCAGGCUGAAGAGGGGGUGGAGUCUGUUCCUAUGGGGACCAGGCUGAAAAGGCAGUGCGUGAGGGGGUGGAGUCUGUUCCUAUGGGGACCAGGCUGAAGAGGGGGUGGAGUCUGUUCCUAUGGGGACCAGGCUGAAGAGGGGGUGGAGUAUGUUCCUAUGGGGACCAGGCUGAAAAGGCGGUGUGUGAGGGGGUGGAGUCUGUUCCUAUGGGGACCAGGCUGAAAAGGCGGUGUGUUAGGAGGUGGAGUCUACCUAUGGGGACCAGGCUGAAAAGGCUGUGUGUGAGGGGGUGGAGUCUGUUCCUAUGGGGACCAGGCUGAAAAGGGGGUGGAGUCAGUUCCUAUGGGGACCAGGCUGAAAAGGCGGUGUGUGAGGGGGUGGAGUCUGUUCCUAUGGGGACCAGGCUGAAAAGGCUGUGUGUGAGGAGGUGGAGUCUACCUAUGGGGAUCAGGCUGAAGAGGGGGUGGAGUCUGUUCCUAUGGGGACCAGGCUGAAAAGGCGGUGCGUGGGGGGUGGAGUCUGUUCCUAUGGGGACCAGGCUGAAAAGGCGGUGUGUGAGGGGGUGGAGUCUGUUCCUAUGGGGACCAGGCUGAAAAGGCGGUGUGUGAGUUGGUGGAGUCUGUUCCUAUGGGGACCAGGCUGAAGAGGGGGGGGUGGAGUCAGUUCCUAUGGGGACCAGGCUGAAAAGGCAGUUUGUGAGGGGGUGGAGUCUGUUCCUAUGGGGACCAGGCUGAAAAGGCGGUGUGUGAGGAGGUGGAGUCUACCUAUGGGGACCAGGCUGAAAAGGAGGUGGAGUCAGUUCCUAUGGGGACCAGGCUAAAAAGGCGGUGUGUGUGGGGGUGGAGUCUGUUCCUAUGGGGACCAGCCUGAAAAGGCGGUGUGUUAGGAGGUGGAGUCUACCUAUGGGGACCAGGCUGAAGAGGGGGUGGAGUCUGUUCCUAUGGGGACCAGGUUGAAAAGGCUGUGUGUGAGGGGGUGGAGUCUGGUCCUAAGGGGACCAGGCUGAAGAGGGGGUGGAGUCUGUUCCUAUGGGGACCAGGCUG